AAUUGCCUGAACCCGGCAAGUGGAGUUUGCAGUGAGCCAAGAUUGCACCACUGCACUCCAGCGUGGGCAACACAGUGAAACUCCGUCUCAAAUAAUGAAAUAAAAUCUUAGAAAAAUGUGUACAUUAAUUCAUUCAGUGUUCUUUUAACACAUGUGCUAAGUGACCCCUACGUUCCCAGAUAGUUCUAGGUGAUGCAAAUACAGAGUGAUGAAUAAAGGAGAUACGGUCUUUACACCUUUGAGAGUUUAAGUCAUAGUGGAAGGAGAUAGACAGUCAACAAGUAAGCUAAUAAAAGAGCACCUGAUAGUGAUUAGUGCUGUGAAGAAAAUAAAAUAUUAGUGUGAAAAUAACAGGGAGGGGCUGGGUGUGGUGGCUCACGCCUGUAAUCGCAGCACUUUGGGAGGCCAAGGCAGGCGAAUCACCUGAGGUUGGGAGUUCAAGACUAGCCUGACCAACAUGGAGAAACCCCAUCUCUACUAAAAAUACAAAAUUAGCCGGGAUGGUGGCGCAUGCCUGUAAUCUCAGCUACUCAGGAGGCAGAGGCAGGAGAAUCACUUGAUCCCAGGAGGUGGAGGUUGCGGUGAGCCAAGAUCCUGCCUUUGCACUGUAGCCUGGGCAACAAGAGCAAAACUCCAUCUCAAAAAAAAAAAAAAGAAAGAAAAUAACAGGGAGGGAUACUCAGGAAAUGUAUUGGUUUUCUUAGAACUGUCUUGUGAUCCUAAACUCUCUUUGGCCUUUCUUAUUCUCAAAAACACCAUUUGUGGCAUGGUCCUCUGCAGAGAAUGGUAGCAGCGUGAGGUGGAGGCACCACAAUCCCUGAUUAUCUGGGCCAAAAGCAGCUCAUAGCCCACUUCUGUUCAGAUCUGUGUACAGGUGUUCAUAAGACCAAGAUGAAUAAGAUGCUCUGUUCCUGUCAAACGGUUCAUGUUCCCUUCUGUGUUAGUCCAUUCUUGCACUAAUACUUGAGACUGGAUAAUUUGUAAAGAUAAGAGGUUUGAUUGACUCAUGCUUCUGCAGGCUAUACAGGAAGUAUAGCGGCUUCUGCUUCUGGGGAGACCUCAGGAAACUUCCAGUCAUGGUGUAAGGCAGAGGGGGAGUGAGCCAUCUCACAUGGCGGGAUUAGGAGCAAGAGGGAGUGAGGGGGGAGAUACUACACACUUAGAAACAACCAGAUCUUGGGAAAACUCACUAUUACGAGAACAGCAGCGAAGGGAUGGUGCUGAACCAUUUAUGAGAAAGCUAGCCUCAUGAUCCCACCACCAGGCCCCACCUCCAUCAUGGGGACUACAGUUUGACAGGAGAUUUGGUGGGGACAGAUCCAAACCAUGUCACUUUCAAAGGACUCACCUCCAGCAGGAGGGAGAUAAAGGUCAAUUAGCCAUUGUAGUAUUACUGUAUAGUGAUGAUUGCAGAGCUAGGCAUAGAUGUGGCACAGGGAACUCUCACCUGUCUUUUGAGGAGAGAUCAGAGGAGGAAAUGGAACCCAAAGAUCUGUCUACCCCCUCAGAGAUGCUGGUAAUUCUGCAUGAAAUAGUGCUCGCCUCGGCAGCACGUAUACUAAAAUUGGAACAAUACAGAGAAGAUUUGCAUGGCCCCUGCGCCAGGAUGACACGCAGAUUCGUGAAGCAUUUCAUAUUUUUGUCAUCCUGGACUUCGAGCAGGAAAUGGCCACCGCUGCAUCCUCCUCCCUGGAGAAGAGCUACGAGCUGCCCUAUGGCCAGGUCAUCACCGUCGGCAACAAGCGGUUCCAGUGUCCGGAGGCGCUGUUCCAGCCUUCCUUCCUGGGUAUGGAAUCUUGCGGCAUCCACAAGACCACGUUCAACUCCAUCAUGAAGUGUGACGUGGACAUCGACAAAGACCUGUACACCAGCGUGGUGCUGUCCGGCGGCACCACCAUGUACCCGGGCAUCACCGACAGGAUACAGAAAGAGAUCAACGCCAUGGCACCCAGCACCAUGAAGAUCAAGCUCAUAGUGCAAGUACUCGAUGUGGAUCAGCGGCUCCAUCCUGGCUUCACUGUCCACCUUCCAGCAGAUGUGGAUUAGCAAGCAGGAGUACAAGUCAGGCCCCUCUGUCGCCCACUGCAAAUGCUUCUAAAUGGACUGCGAGCAGAUGCAUAGCAUUUGCUGCAUGGGUUAAUUCAGAAGUAUAAAUUUGCCCCUGGCAAAUGCAUAUACCUCAUGCUAGCCUCACAAAACUGGAAUAAGCCUUCGAAAAGAAAUUGUCCUUGAAGCUUGUAUCUGAUAUCAGCACGGGAUUGUAGAACUUGUUGCUGAUUUUGACCUUGUAUUCAAGUUAACUGUUCCCCUUGGUAUUUGUUUAAUACCCUGUACGCAUCUUUGCUUUCAACCCUUAGUACAUGUGGCUUGGUCAUUGCAUGGUAAGGUCAGAACGUGCCUGUGGAAGACAAGUCUGUGGCUUGGUGAGUCUGCAUGGCCAGCAGUCUGCAAUCUAUGCAGGGUAUUAAUAUAUCAUGGCUGAGUGUUCUGGGAUUUCUCUGGAGGCUGGCAAGGGCUCCUGAACCAGUUGUUUCUGUCCUGCGGGUCUGUCAAGGUUGGCAAGUCCAAGCCAUAGGACCCAGUUUCCUUUCUUAGCUGAUGUUUUCCUGCCAGAACACUGUGGGCCGUUACUUGCCGUGAGUUGGAAGCAGUUUGCAUUUACACCUGUAAAUGUAUUCAUGGUUCUAAUUUAUGUGAAAUUUUUUUGUAUGCAAUUCUCAAUUCUUUAAAGAGAUGAGAACAGAUUUUGUUUUUCUACUGUUACGUGAGAACAUUAAGCCCCAGCAGCACCUCAUUGUGAAGGAAAAAUAAAAGUGCUGCAGUAACCAGAAAAAAAGAAAAGAAAAACCAGUUUAAUGGCUGCUGCUACUAAAAAAACAGCUAGAUUAGAUGCUUCCUCUGGCCUAAACAUUGUAUGUUCACUCACUCAAUCCUUAUGUCAACCUAUGAAAAUAGAUACUGUUGUCCCCAUUUUAUAGAUGAGGAAGUAAGGCUUAGAAGCCAGUGUGGGGCUUUUUUGCUGAGUUAGCCUACCUUCCCAGAUUGAGCUCCAGGGUGAGUGAGUCAUUUAUUCAUUCAUUAAAUCUUCAUAAAGCACCUAUUAUGUACUAGAUCCUAAAUAGAAGGUAGUUCACAAAGCGGCUCUGGACCUGCCUUCCUGGAGCUUCCAGGCUGACAAACCACUUGGAGGGUUUCUUCUCUGGGGCUUCCAGCCUUUACUCUGAUUUCCAUCAGCUGCUGCCAGCACAGCUGUGGCGUGUGGAAUCCUGGUGGGACCCAGACUUCCUCCCAAGCAGAUGAAAGGAAUGGGGGCAGAGAUGGGGGUGGAGGGCAGUCCUGAGAUCAGGAUGAGCUACUUUCCCAUAAUCCUGAGUGUCCAUCCUGUGGCCUGUGGAUCUUCUGCAACUUAUUCUAUGUUAGUGCAGUCAGUCAAAUAGUGCUUAUGUAUUGAAUACCUCGAGAUGACAACACUGAGCAGCUGCCAAGCAGAAGGCAGGGUCCUAGGCACUGUGUAAAUGGAUAAGUCUAGCCAUUUAAUCCUCACAGUAGCUCCUCAUUAAGGUAAUUUUUACUAUCCACAGAGAGAUAGGAAUGAGUAACUUGCCCAGAACAAAGUCAAGCCUCAACCCAGAUGAUAUCUGAGCAUGACUUCACUCUUGGCGUUUGUUGUUUUUAAUUUUUUAUUUGUUUGUUUAUUUAUUCAUUUAUUUAGAGACAGAGUCUUGCUCUGUCACCCAGGCUGGAGUG
Piliocolobus tephrosceles (Ugandan red Colobus) is the source of this 3747-nucleotide RNA transcript. It is a transcript of the gene named actin, muscle-like, with no coding region annotated. NCBI's taxonomy places the organism in Eukaryota, Metazoa, Chordata, Mammalia, Primates, Cercopithecidae. The record is from RefSeq and is a predicted model, not a curated record. The transcript has a single exon.